This 950-nucleotide ribosomal RNA is filed under the name Prevotella micans. RNAcentral describes it as "bacterial SSU rRNA". It matches the Rfam family "Bacterial small subunit ribosomal RNA", at positions 58 to 1000 of the family's 1533-position model. The record is from RNAcentral. Lineage: Bacteria; Pseudomonadati; Bacteroidota; Bacteroidia; Bacteroidales; Prevotellaceae.
CAAGUCGAGGGGCAGCAUAAUUAUUGCUUGCAAUAAUUGAUGGCGACCGGCGCACGGGUGAGUAUCGCGUAUCCAACUUUCCCAUAACUAGGGGAUAAUCCGUCGAAAGGCGGUCUAAUACUCUAUGUUGUCUAUUUAUGGCCUCAUAUUUAGACGAAAGAUUUAUCGGUUAUGGUUAGGGAUGCGUCCGAUUAGGUAGUAGGCGGGGUAAUAGCCCACCUAGCCUACGAUCGGUAGGGGUUCUGCGAGGAAGGUCCCCCACAUUGGAACUGAGACACGGUCCAAACUCCUACGGGAGGCAGCAGUGAGGAAUAUUGGUCAAUGGACGCGAGUCUGAACCAGCCAAGUAGCGUGCAGGAUGACGGCCCUAUGGGUUGUAAACUGCUUUUAUGCGGGAAUAAAGUGAUUUACGUGUAUAUCAUUGCAUGUACCGCAUGAAUAAGGACCGGCUAAUUCCGUGCCAGCAGCCGCGGUAAUACGGAAGGUUCGGGCGUUAUCCGGAUUUAUUGGGUUUAAAGGGAGCGUAGGCUGAAUAUUAAGCGUGUUGUGAAAUGUAGUUGCUCAACAUCUGCACUGCAGCGCGAACUGGUAUUCUUGAGUGUGCGCGACGUAGGCGGAAUUCGUGGUGUAGCGGUGAAAUGCUUAGAUAUCACGAAGAACUCCGAUUGCGAAGGCAGCUUACGAGAGCACAACUGACGCUUAAGCUCGAAGGUGCGGGUAUCGAACAGGAUUAGAUACCCUGGUAGUCCGCACAGUAAACGAUGGAUGCCCGCUAUUGGACUUUUAGUUCAGUGGCUAAGCGAAAGCGUUAAGCAUCCCACCUGGGGAGUACGCCGGCAACGGUGAAACUCAAAGGAAUUGACGGGGGCCCGCACAAGCGGAGGAACAUGUGGUUUAAUUCGAUGAUACGCGAGGAACCUUACCCGGGCUUGAACUGCCGGUGAACGAUA